This 18-nucleotide ribosomal RNA is filed under the name Entamoeba nuttalli. RNAcentral's name for it is "partial 28S ribosomal RNA". Lineage: Eukaryota; Evosea; Mastigamoebida; Endamoebidae. The record is from RNAcentral.
GAUUUGAGUAUCGUAAGA